CUCAGCGGCUCGGCGGGGCGGGAGGUGGCGGCGGCUGCUGCCCCCGGGCUCCCCGGGGCUCCUGCUCCCCUGGGGCUCCUGCCCCUCGGUGCCAUGCCCUCCACGCCAUACGACGUCCCCCUGCCCCGCAGCUCAGCGGUGCCGCCGGGCCCGGUGAGAGCAGCUGUGUGAGGGGAAUGGCUGUCUUCUUAAAGGCCGCUGCGGGCCUGUCCCCGCCUGGGGAGCCUCCCCCUGACCUUGAGUUAAAGUCCCGUGUGACGAGUGCGGGGGUGAAACCUUGAGUGGGGGGAAAAAAGGGGCCUCGAAAGUUGCGCUGUGGCCGCAGAUGGGCCGGUUGGGUCACAGAGCAAGGAGGGAGCGUUGGAUGGCUUCCCCACCCGAGAGAGGAUAAUGUAUGCAUGCAGCUGACAAAUUAUUCCAUUAACAAGAACAGAGCUAAUUCUGCUGGAGAAAAAGACACUGGGAGGAAGAGCCUGGGCUGCUACCAUCAGCCUCUUCCUUACCACCAGUUCGGGCUGUUCCAGCUCGUCCCAGCGCUCCCGCAGGGUCCCGCAGCCGCUGGCUGAUGCGUGGCCGGCAGAGGGGGAUCGACUACACCGAAUCACUGGGAAAACGGGAACUGUGCUCCCGGUCACACGCCUGCAGGAGUCCUCAGCUUUGUGGGCAGCUUCACUCCGGUUCUUUGCUCACAGGAGCCUUUCAGAGCUCUCCCUUAUCCUCGGUGGAAGCUACUGGGUAGUGGAAGGGUCAGACUGGGGCUCCCAGAGAGCAGCAGGUUCAUGCCAGUUCCUCCCAGCACACACCGGGUUGGUACCAGCUCUACAAUCAACCCGAGGCUGUAAUUUCAACCAGAGAGUGUUUCCCUCCUUGCAGUACGUGUCUAAACCACCUGCCAUCCCUCUGCCCAGAACAGCCUGGAUAAGAAGGCCUUUUUUUCCAGCUUGGGUGACUUGUAACCAAACCCUUGUCAAGAACAGCAGCAAAACUCCACAGUUCCUGGGCCACCUCUGAACUUGGGUGCUGGGAUGGAUGCAUCCUCCAGGGAUGGGGCACCCACAACCCCCCUGGGCAACCUGUUCCACCCCCUCACUACCUUCAUGGUGAAGAAUUUCUUCCUGAUGUCUCACCUAAAUCUCCCCUCUUCCAGUUUAAAACCAUCACCCCUUCUCCUCUCGCUGACCUCUCUGGUGAAGCAGAGGAGUGGAAGCUACAAAUAAAUUUGAGGCCAAAGGAAGAGGAGAAGAAAGAAGAUGGUAAUACCUCUCUGGCCAAGAACUGUCACCUUCCAGGAGUGUUCUCCACAGAAAGGAUGCUAACCAGCCAGGAGGGAUGUGCAUUCAGUGAAAAAGGUUGUGUUUCAGAGAAAAAGGUUGUGUUUCAGUGGGGCACAUCACUUCCCAGGUUUGGCUUCACACUGGAGCAAGGGGAGAUGUGAGUUACUCAGCAGGUGAUUUUUCUUCCCUCUGACUCAGCAUUGUACCCUCAGCACACUGUUUGUGGGCAAAGCAUGGGGAGAGCAAGAGGUUCCUAAUUUUAAUUUGGAAGUGAUUUAGGAAUGAAGGAUUGAGCACUGUUAAGAGGGGAACUGAUUUGCUUUGUGUGCUAGAUGAUUAAUCAGCAAUAUUCAGUGUAUGAAAACUGUCUCUGCAGUGAUGUAUUGACUUGGUAGAAGCUCUAGCUGGAAGGGAAGACCUUGAAGGUGCCAUUUUCUGCUGCCUUUCUUUGACCAUCGUGUCAUUGUCGUUACUGGAAACAAUUCAGGAUAAAUAUCCUGACAGAAAGAGGAUUUUUGGGAUCUGGUUUGCAGGUUUUUCAGCAUGGGUUUAAUAGAAUCUGUGGGAGGAAUGUCACAAGCUGGGGGGGAAGGGUUUUCUUUCUGUCCCUGUGUGAUUUCAGUCCAUCUCCAGAGCAUGGAUGUGUCCUGCAGCCCUGCAGUAGCAGUGUGGAGUGGCUGGUCUCAGUUUUCAUCUGAUUUGAGGCAAAAAGGCCUCCUGUAUCUGACAAAUUGCUUCAGUGGAGAAGGAGGUUUCUUUUUCAAGGGCAAUUUCCAAAAAUGUACAUUUAUUUACUGCACAUGAACAAAACUGUAGAGAAGGAAACACUGUCCCCACCCAAAGCCCUCACAACAUCUGCCCUGAUAAAAGAAGGAUUUGGGGCUGUUGGUUGUUUCUCUUCCAGCAACAGAACAAAUCUAAUCCAGUGCCUCAUUCUGCCUGAUCUUCAUCCCUGUGCCCUGAGCCUGCUGCUGUUCAUUGUGCCAGGGUGGGGCUCAGCACUUCUGCUUUGAGCUUCACCUGUGGAACUACAGGAGGAAAAUGCUGUUGUUUUGUUGUGAGAGUUGUUGUCUGCUUCAGAGGCAGUUACAAGUGCUGUCCAGCUGUUUUCUGUUCAAUGGUUUCAGGUCAAAGUCACUGCAGGAAGGUGGAGAGUGAGCAGCUGACUGAGCAGAGGAUGAAAACCUCUGCCCCAGCAGAACAGCAACAUAACCCAAUAUUAAAAGGUGAGCAGCUGGGCACAAGGAUGAAGAUCGGGCAGAAUGAAGCACUGGAUUAGAUUUGUUCUGUCUUCAUGUGAUGCCAUCCUCACUUUUUUCCUAGCUCAUUUUUAACAGCAGCCAAUUCUGUAACACAGCCUGAGCUGCUGUUCUGCAUUUCCCUGACCUCAGCAGUGCUGCCCCCAGAAUGAAUUUAGUCCCUACCAUCAAUCUACUUCUGAAUCAGCUCCUUAUCCGAGCUAUUUAGCCUUGGGAGACAGAUGUGUCUGCUUUAGGGAAGAUAAUUCCAAUGCAGGGCAUUGAUAAAAUAGUAGUCUUUUCCUAUAUUUUAAUAGAAGUUUUGGUAGAAAUGAAGGAACCUACUGGAAGACUGUUCCUAUGUAAAAAUGCAGUCCAAGGAAGGUGGCUGGAAACCACCACGGAUUUGACACAGAGUUAUUCAGGUCACUGUGGGAAGGAUUAUGUGAGCCUGGAAAGUGGUCAUGAAUUGCCUCCUUGCUCUUUUUCUAGCACCUAGAUAAUCAGCACCCUGAUUCACUGCCCUGUGAUACCCACAUGGUGGAAGGAGAGGUGAGAGAUCUGCCUGCAGGUGGAGGGAGAAAUUCCAGGUUUUUUUCAGAGACUAAAUACUGGAAUAAUAUUUGAGUAUAAAAGAGAAGGGAGAAGCACUCGUUCAGCUUAAGGACCAAAGGUUGUGAGGCAGCAAGCAAAGCAAGUAGUACCUUUUUCUUUUGUCCUUUCAGUUCUGGAACGAAAUGUAGAGUAAGAAAUGAAACGUGGCAGAUUAGAAACACUGUCUGGACAAAGCAUCCUUGGGAAAACAUGGUUAUGGCAAAAUUGUGGGUAAGGAAACUGAGGCACAGAGCUUGCUGCAGGUUGGCAGAGGUGAUCAUCUGUGCUACUGGACCUCUCUGGAGCUUCUUCUGUGGCCCACAGGGUGAGGAACAGAACCAAAUCUCGCUCUCUCCAUAGUGGAGUGGAGAGUUUUGAUAGCUUCAGCCUGGUUUGGGUUCCUGCUCCAGCUGUUUGAUAUAUUCAGGUCAUCAAACACUUCCUUUAAUUCUGAAAAAAAAUAAUUUCACUGAAAUAUUCUUCUUCCAAGGCAUCUCUUUCAGUAGCAGAAUCUCAAUAAAUGAGGCUUUGUGACUAUAAAA
Apus apus (common swift) is the source of this 3648-nucleotide long non-coding RNA. RefSeq lists it as uncharacterized. The record is from RefSeq and is a predicted model, not a curated record. The transcript is spliced from 3 exons. NCBI's taxonomy places the organism in Eukaryota, Metazoa, Chordata, Aves, Apodiformes, Apodidae.